AGUUUGAUCCUGGCUCAGGAUGAACGCUGGCGGCGUGCUUAACACAUGCAAGUCGAACGAUGACUUUUGUGCUUGCACAAAAUGAUUAGUGGCGAACGGGUGAGUAACACGUGAGUAACCUGCCCUUAACUUCGGGAUAAGCCUGGGAAACCGGGUCUAAUACCGGAUACGACGGAUUCCCGCAUGGGGGUCCGUGGAAAGCUUGAUGCGGUUUUGGAUGGACUCGCGGCCUAUCAGCUAGUUGGUUGGGGUAAUGGCCCACCAAGGCGACGACGGGUAGCCAGCCUGAGAGGGUGAACGGCCACAUUGGGACUGAGAUACGGCCCAGACUCCUACGGGAGGCAGCAGUGGGGAAUAUUGGGCAAUGGGCGAAAGCCUGACCCAGCGACGCCGCGUGAGGGAAGAAGGUCUUCGGAUUGUAAACCUUAGUUAGCAGGGAAGAAGAAAGUGACGGUACCUGCAGAGAAAGCCACGGCUAACUACGUGCCAGCAGCCGCGGUAAUACGUAGGUGGCAAGCGUUAUCCGGAUUUACUGGGUGUAAAGGGUGCGCAGGCGGUUUAUUAAGUCUAAGAUGAAAGCCCGAAGCUUAACUUCGGUUUGUUUUAGAAACUGGUAGACUCGAGUAUGGUAGAGGCAAAUGGAAUUCCUAGUGUAGCGGUGGAAUGCGUAGAUAUUAGGAGGAACACCGGUGGCGAAGGCGGCUUACUGGGCUUUUACUGACGCUAAGGCACGAAAGUGUGGGGAGCAAACAGGAUUAGAUACCCUGGUAGUCCACACUGUAAACGAUGAUUACUAGGUGUAGGGCGGCUAAACCGUUCUGUGCCGGAGUUAACACAAUAAGUAAUCCACCUGGGGAGUACGGCCGCAAGGUUGAAACUCAAAGGAAUUGACGGGGGCCCGCACAAGCAGUGGAGUAUGUGGUUUAAUUCGACGCAACGCGAAGAACCUUACCAGGACUUGACAUCCUGAGAAGACUGGGUAAUGCCGGUUGUGCCCUUCGGGGAACUCAGAGACAGGUGGUGCAUGGUUGUCGUCAGCUCGUGUCGUGAGAUGUUGGGUUAAGUCCCGCAACGAGCGCAACCCUUACGGUUAGUUGCUACGCAAGAGCACUCUGGCCGGACUGCCGUUGACAAAACGGAGGAAGGUGGGGAUGACGUCAAAUCAUCAUGCCCCUUACGUCCUGGGCUACACACGUACUACAAUGGCGUCCAACAAAGGGGAGCCAAGGAGCGAUCCGGAGCAAAUCCCAAAAAGACGUCCCAGUUCAGACUGCAGGCUGCAACCCGCCUGCACGAAGUUGGAAUUGCUAGUAAUCGUAGGUCAGCAUACUACGGUGAAUACGUUCCCGGGCUUUGCACACACCGCCCGUCA
RNAcentral lists this ribosomal RNA (1372 nucleotides) under uncultured bacterium. RNAcentral's name for it is "partial 16S ribosomal RNA". It matches the Rfam family "Bacterial small subunit ribosomal RNA". The record is from RNAcentral.